AGAAUGCCAGUCACGGAGUGGGAGGAAGUGUGAGUUUGGUACUUAGGGCCAGCUCGGGAAAUCCCCAGGUGAGGUUUUCCUAGCUCUUGGCCAGACUUCCUGCUGGAGCCUCGAAGGCAAUUGGCAAGAUCAGUGUCACUUUAAGAUCAGUGUCUCUGAUAUUCUCAUCUCCCUCUCUCCCAAUCUCGGGAGACUCGGACUUCUCGGACUCACAGAAUUCGUACGUUUAUGCUCUGGGUUGUGUGGGAGAGAAGGCCUUCUCUAGCAGUGUCCUGCACAAAUUGGGCUCCACGAGCAAAAGGGAUUGGAUCUGGUUCACAGGAUCCUGCUGGUUCCACUGGGGUCUAUCUCUAUUAUCCAGUACACAGUCUUUCUAGAUCAAGAAUCUGAGUGUCCCUCUGUGAGAUGCUCUGCCUGAGAGUUUCCCAAGAUGUUGGACAGGGCGACAAGCAUGUCAAGGUUCAACUGGAGGACGUUCUGUUUCCAACCUCAUUCACAUGGCUGCUAGCUGGCUUCCGAUCUUCAAUGCCUUUUGGCUGUAGAUAUCAGUUGUUUGACACGUGGAUCUCUCCAUAGGGUCCUAGGAAUAAAGAGGAAGAAAGUUUGUGGCACACAGAAUUCAGUUUUUUGUAGCCUAAUGUCAAAAGUGACAUUCCAUCAUUUUGUUGUAUUCUAUGCAUUAGAAGUUAGUUACCAGGUCCAGCCCGUGCUCCUACGUGCAAAAUACAUUCACCCUCCCAAAAGCCCCAAACAUCUAAUCCCACUAAAACAUCAGCUCCUAGUGUGGAAUCUUACCAGAUAAUUCAGGUUCAUAGGUGGAUGUUUCUUUGGACAUAGUUCUUUAAGUACAGUUUCUCUAGGUAUACAGAUGUGAGAAAUUAAGGAGACAAGCUUCCCAUAAACAAAAUGUACACUGUCAUACGAAUGAGGAGAAAUGGAUUUUUGUCCACACUGUUUAUCUUUGGGUCUUUAAGGUCUCAAAAAUUUUAAGAUCCUUGACCU
Molecule: non-coding RNA, 1002 nt
Organism: Puma concolor (puma)
Lineage: Eukaryota; Metazoa; Chordata; Mammalia; Carnivora; Felidae
Source: RefSeq, a predicted model, not a curated record